RNAcentral lists this ribosomal RNA (309 nucleotides) under uncultured bacterium. RNAcentral's name for it is "bacterial SSU rRNA". It matches the Rfam family "Bacterial small subunit ribosomal RNA", at positions 28 to 334 of the family's 1533-position model. The record is from RNAcentral.
GACGAACGCUGGCGGCGCGCCUAACACAUGCAAGUCGAACGAGCGAGAGAGAGCUUGCUUUCUCAAGCGAGUGGCGAACGGGUGAGUAACGCGUGAGGAACCUGCCUCAAAGAGGGGGACAACAGUUGGAAACGGCUGCUAAUACCGCAUAAGCGCACAGUACCGCAUGGUAUUGUGUGAAAAACUCCGGUGGUAUGAGAUGGACCCGCGUCUGAUUAGGUAGUUGGUGGGGUAACGGCCUACCAAGCCGACGAUCAGUAGCCGACCUGAGAGGGUGACCGGCCACAUUGGGACCGAGACACGGCCCAA